CCCUUAGAUGUCCUGGGCCGCACGCGCGCUACACUGAUGCAUGCAACGAGUUUAUAACCUUGGCCUGAAAGGUCUGGGUAAUCUUUUGGACGUGCAUCGUGAUAGGGAUAGAUUAUUGCAAUUGUUAAUCUUGAACGAGGAAUUCCUAGUAAACGCGAGUCAUCAGCUCGCAUUGAUUACGUCCCUGCCCUUUGUACACACCGCCCGUCGCACCUACCGAUUGAAUGGUUCGGUGAAGAUCUCGGACUUCGAUAUUUAUUCUUUAUUGAGUUUAUAUUGUGGGAAGUUAUCUAAACCUCAUCAUUUAGAGGAAGGUGAAGUCGUAACA
RNAcentral lists this ribosomal RNA (328 nucleotides) under uncultured eukaryote. RNAcentral's name for it is "partial 18S ribosomal RNA". It matches the Rfam family "Eukaryotic small subunit ribosomal RNA", at positions 1470 to 1796 of the family's 1831-position model. The record is from RNAcentral.